GUCAUUGGUCAUUUCUGCUGUAUCUAUUUGGGUAAAGAAUCUGGCUUAUUAUGCCUAAACUUCCAUUAUGAAUGCCUUCAUGAAUGUGUAGACAGCAUCCCGCACAAUUUCAGUGUCAGCCAGCUUGAAAGGCAAGAAGACUCAUGCCUCUUGUGGAACAUCUCUGGCUGAUGGAUGUGCCUUUCUGCUGCCUUCCUCUGAAGAAUCGUGGUAACAUCUUUGUGUACAUCUUGAUUUGUGAAGAGCUUGUGUAAAAGUCUACAGUACUAAAAUCAAAGGACCCGCAGGCCAUCUCCCACAAAAAGGUGAAAGAACAGUUGGAGUUCUAAAGAAAUGCAAAAAUUGAUCAUCCUCAAAUUUUGGUGCAUAGAAGAUGAGAACUCUCAGAGGAACUGCUUCUUUUGUAAAUGAUUUUUUCAAAUGAGAGCAGACUGAGCUCAAAUGCUGGAUUUGAUUUUGGAGUCUGAUAUCUUCAUAUUUUGCAUCCAGAUUUUGCAGCUAGAACAGG
This is a long non-coding RNA of Dromaius novaehollandiae (emu), 508 nucleotides long. RefSeq lists it as uncharacterized. The record is from RefSeq and is a predicted model, not a curated record. The transcript has 2 exons. NCBI's taxonomy places the organism in Eukaryota, Metazoa, Chordata, Aves, Casuariiformes, Dromaiidae.